RNAcentral lists this long non-coding RNA (1167 nucleotides) under Arabidopsis thaliana (thale cress). RNAcentral's name for it is "potential natural antisense gene, locus overlaps with AT2G44800 (AT2G44798)". The record is from RNAcentral. Lineage: Eukaryota; Viridiplantae; Streptophyta; Magnoliopsida; Brassicales; Brassicaceae.
ACAGAGACAGCUAGAAAAAAAACAGAGCUCCUUCGCGACGAGAAGUCGCCGCCGGAAUCGAGAGGCCAAGGCCGUAGUUUGAGAGUUUAAAGGAAAAUUACUCCCGACGUUGAUUAGUCUCCGGAGGAUACUUUGUGAUAUUUUGUUGAUUCAUAGGUAGACUGUGAAGACUUGCAAAAGAUAGCCUUUUGACUUCUUUGUUCACUGUUACACGAUGAAUGACGCUCUUGUAUAUGCCGUUGCUCAUCACCUCUACCUGAUCUCCCAGCUGAACUAUCAAAGCUCCUUCUAUAUACGGCACACAAACCCAGUUUUUGUUGCAGUCCAUUAUCUGGAGUCCCUUGCUACUCUGAAGUAAGAUGGUCAGUGAGCUGAAGUCUGAGUGUGGUGGCAUUCCCAAGGCCAUUUCAGGUUCCGGGCAUGCUGGAUAACAAUUCACUGCCAUGACUUGUGAGCCUUCUUCUAUCUCUUCUUCAUGGAGGAUUUGAUGGCCACAUAUCGAUCCACUUUGAGAGUGGAUGAGAGUAAUGCUUGAUGAAAUCUCUCCAGUAGUGAACUCUGUCUGUUGAAUGGUUAAGGCUUGUGCCAUACCUGACUGGCUCAUGAACGUUUGCAGACACCAGAAGCAUCUUCUCUUCCACAGGCCAUGCUAAUCUCGUGGAUUGCGAGGGAUCGAAGGAAAGGUUGGUGCAAAAGAGAGAGAUCAAUGACAGGAAGUGUAGUCUCGCUGGUGCCUAAGCUUGAACCAAGAGCUGGCCUUUGCGAAGGAGGAAGAACGUAGCGAUCAGGGACUUGAGGCACACCUGAAUUGGUAAGUGUCAUUGCACUUGUAAAAGAAUCAUCAAGCAAACUCAUUUUUGUUUCCUCCAUAUUUUUUUGUUUGCUCUUUAUGUAUUUAGUACUACUAUACUAAAGAGUAUGGCAACAUGCAUAGCGUAUAUAUAUACUUGUUAAAAUUUCUUCUAGAAAGAUAAAUAUCCCAAUUUUGUAAAGUCAACAUUUUUAUAUUUUUCCUAGUUUGCUUACGGUAUUGGAAACCACCUGCAGCAUCUUUACAAUAAAUGAAGUGUGACAGAUCAAAUUGUGGAUGUGAAUUAGUAUAUAAAAGUGAAUGGACACAUACGUCUUCUUUAAAAGUUGCAUCUUUCUAGUAGUCCAUAUGACAGG